This 255-nucleotide ribosomal RNA is filed under the name uncultured bacterium. RNAcentral describes it as "partial 16S ribosomal RNA". It matches the Rfam family "Bacterial small subunit ribosomal RNA", at positions 524 to 776 of the family's 1533-position model. The record is from RNAcentral.
UACGUAGGGUGCAAGCGUUUGUCCGGAAAUUAUUGGGCGUAAAGAGCUCGUAGGCGGUCUGUCACGUCGGCUGUGAAAACCCGAGGCUCAACCUCGGGCCUGCAGUCGAUACGGGCAGACUAGAGUUCGGUAGGGGAGAGUGGAAUUCCUGGUGUAGCGGUGAAAUGCGCAGAUAUCAGGAAGAACACCCGUGGCUAAGGCGGCUCUCUAGUACGGUACUGACGCUGAGACGCGAAAGCGUGGGGAGCGAACAGG